GGGCGGUUAGCUCAGCGGUAGAGCACUGCCUUCACACGGCAGGGGUCACUGGUUCGAUACCAGUAUCGCCCACCA
RNAcentral lists this transfer RNA (75 nucleotides) under Burkholderiales bacterium. Its description in RNAcentral is "tRNA-Val". It matches the Rfam family "tRNA". From Rfam's summary of the family: Transfer RNA (tRNA) molecules are approximately 80 nucleotides in length. The record is from RNAcentral. Lineage: Bacteria; Pseudomonadati; Pseudomonadota; Betaproteobacteria; Burkholderiales. RNAcentral also lists the same sequence under 2 other names.